GUCCAGCUGCUGAGUCCCAAAUAGGACGAAACGCGCAUCCUGGAU
RNAcentral lists this non-coding RNA (45 nucleotides) under Schistosoma margrebowiei. Lineage: Eukaryota; Metazoa; Platyhelminthes; Trematoda; Strigeidida; Schistosomatidae. The record is from RNAcentral.